This 492-nucleotide ribosomal RNA is filed under the name uncultured bacterium. Its description in RNAcentral is "partial 16S ribosomal RNA". It matches the Rfam family "Bacterial small subunit ribosomal RNA", at positions 29 to 507 of the family's 1533-position model. The record is from RNAcentral.
AGUGAACGCUGGCGGUAGGCCUAACACAUGCAAGUCGAACGGCAGCACAGUAAGAGCUUGCUCUUACGGGUGGCGAGUGGCGGACGGGUGGGGAAUACAUCGGAAUCUACUUUUUCGUGGGGGAUAACGUAGGGAAACUUACGCUAAUACCGCAUACGACCUACGGGUAAAAGCAGGGGAUCUUCGGACCUUGCGCGAUUGAAUGAGCCGAUGUCGGAUUAGCUAGUUGGCGGGGUAAAGGCCCACCAAGGCGACGAUCCGUAGCUGGUCUGAGAGGAUGAUCAGCCACACUGGAACUGAGACACGGUCCAGACUCCUACGGGAGGCAGCAGUGGGGAAUAUUGGACAAUGGGCGCAAGCCUGAUCCAGCCAUACCGCGUGGGUGAAGAAGGCCUUCGGGUUGUAAAGCCCUUUUGUUGGGAAAGAAAAGCAGCAGGUUAAUACCCCGCUGUUCUGACGGUACCCAAAGAAUAAGCACCGGCUAACUUCGUG